Molecule: non-coding RNA, 73 nt
Organism: Bos taurus (domestic cattle)
Lineage: Eukaryota; Metazoa; Chordata; Mammalia; Artiodactyla; Bovidae
Source: Rfam
UCCCCUGUGGCUCAGCUGGUAAAGAAUCCGCCUGCAAUGCGGGAGACCUAGGUUCGAUCCCUGGGUUGGGGAA